GACGAACGCUGGCGGCGUGCCUAAUACAUGCAAGUAGAACGCUGAAGAGAGGAGCUUACUCUUCUUGGAUGAGUUGCGAACGGGUGAGUAACGCGUAGGUAACCUGCCUUGUAGCGGGGGAUAACUAUUGGAAACGAUAGCUAAUACCGCAUAACAAUGGAUGACACAUGUCAUUUAUUUGAAAGGGGCAAUUGCUCCACUACAAGAUGGACCUGCGUUGUAUUAGCUAGUAGGUGAGGUAAUGGCUCACCUAGGCGACGAUACAUAGCCGACCUGAGAGGGUGAUCGGCCACACUGGGACUGAGACACGGCCCAGACUCCUACGGGAGGCAGCAGUAGGGAAUCUUCGGCAAGGGGGGCAACCCUGACCGAGCAACGCCGCGUGAGGGAAGAAGGGUUUCGGAUCGUAAAGCUCUGUUGUAAGUCAAGAACGGGUGUGAGAGUGGAAAGUUCACACUGUGACGGUAGCUUACCAGAAAGGGACGGCUAACUACGUG
Molecule: ribosomal RNA, 497 nt
Filed under: uncultured bacterium
Lineage: Bacteria
Description: partial 16S ribosomal RNA
Rfam family: Bacterial small subunit ribosomal RNA
Source: RNAcentral